Molecule: unclassified non-coding RNA, 1509 nt
Filed under: Portunus trituberculatus (swimming crab)
Lineage: Eukaryota; Metazoa; Arthropoda; Malacostraca; Decapoda; Portunidae
Description: uncharacterized LOC123509390, transcript variant X1
Source: RNAcentral
ACGGACAAGUGAUAACAGAGUGGAAGUGGGUGGACAUAUCCAGUUUGCGUCUGCGACACAUACGUAUUACGUAGUAAUAGGCUGACAGCUGUGCCUGUGACUGAGUUACUCCCUGCCACCUACGCCACGGGCCACACGACACACCGACUUUAACUUCUUACAGUGCUUCGUUAUGCGCGUGUUUGUGAUUGAGAGGAGACACUGAUUCAUUCCUGUUGGGACGAGUGGCGGCAAGAUUGCUGGUUGAAUUACUUAUACCUGGAGAACUUGUGUGUGUGUGUGUGUGUGUGUACUUUAACAUGACGAGCAUCUCAACUUGCCUGGCUCUGUUUUACCUUCUGCUUACCUGUGCGAGUGCCAUGCCAGGUGGUGACGGCAGUAGAGACCAAAAAAUACAACAGCAGCCACAAAAGGGAAACAAGAGAGGAGGAGGAGGAGGAGAUAGAAGAGGAGAGACUGCAUCAGUGCCUCGUAUUACGUGGGGUCGCGCCAACACUGAGGACGAAGCACACUUCGAGGAGGCUCUGGAAGGCAGGAACUUGACGGCCGUGGUGGGACAGAAAGUUGUGCUUACGUGCGUGGUGAAGCACCUUGGCAAGCAUGUGGUGUCUUGGAUUCGAAGAAGGGACCUCCACGUGUUGACUGUGGGCGUGUAUACAUUUACCAACGAUGACCGCUUCCAGGCUCUGCACGCCGAGGAGAGCGAUCAGUGGUCGCUGGUAAUUAAUCCUGUGACCUUGAGAGAUUCUGGCGUUUAUGAGUGUCAAGCUUCAGGCAAGGACAAGAAGUACCUCCUGUAUAACUUAAUAGUGGAAGUCCAGCAGGCGAGGAUUAACGGCCCGACGGAGGUGUACGUGCAGAGAGGUUCCACCAUUCGCCUCACCUGUACUCUUAAUACGCAUUCGGACCAUGUCGGCGGCGUCACCUGGUUCCACGACGCCCAACCCCUUGAUUACGACUCGCCCAGGGGCGGCGUGAGCGUGGAGAUCGAGAAGACCCCAUUCUACACCACCUCCAAACUGUUCAUCACUCGAGCCACCAAGAAGGACGUGGGAAAUUAUACUUGUAUGCCGCAUUUCGCUGAUUCCACCUCCGUUCAGGUCCUCGUGGUCAACGGGGAUGAGCCGGCGGCGGUGCACACGUCAGGGUCCUCCACGAUGCACAACGGUUCCCUAGGUGCUGGCGUCCCUGGGAUGUUGGUGAGCCGCGCCACAAUACCUGGCAGACGCGGAGAUGGCCCCGGCAGAUGGCUUUUGGAGUGGAGCCCUCUGUCAUCGCUCUCAUUAUCAGUACUCUAUUAUUUCAUCAUUGCAGUGUAAUCGACGUGACUUGUGACUUGGCGCUGGACUUUAUUUUUCAUUGCCAAUCAUCAGUGUUACCCAGUGUUGCUGUUCCAGUGUUGGUAAAGGGACGCAAGCCAAGCAAGAGGCAAACAAGACACAUAAAAGAUGAUGAGAAUCACGAAACUGUCCAUUUAUUGCAUAAGGUUUGAAAAGUCUUCUUUCCUUU